CAUCCACACAUCUAUCCAUCCAUCAACCUUAACACUAUUUGCUGUAAGUAGCAGCCUUAAAUUAAAGAUAUGGUGAAGUUAUAUGACAUUAUGGUUGAGAUACCACAAAUGAAGAUCGUGUGAAUAUGUGAGUUCACAGUUCACUGGUACAUGACUGCUUGGUGAUGAAACAUGUUUCUUACAUUGGCAGCAAGUAUGACAAACAUUCAUCAAGAUCUACAUGUUGCUUCCUGUCAAGCUGGAUGUUUUGAGGGCACAUAGUGUACCAGUAUCAUUUUAGCUCCUAUCAAUUCCAUCCUCAUAAUGUGUGCAGGAAGAAUGAUUUUUGUCUUCUUCUGUAUAAGUACAAAUUUUCCUAGUAUUACCGUCGUGGAUAUUAUCUGAACUGUAUGUGGAAGAAGGUAGUUUGGCAAAUUCAAUUAUUUUGUGUUGUUUUCCAAAUAUCACAGAUUGUUGUUUCACCAACAUUGUAAAUUAGUGCCAGAUUCUACUUAUCAGUGUUGCCUUCUUCAAGUUUGUGUAUUAUUUACAGUUUCUGCUGUAUCAUGAUAACAACACAUUUUUGCUUUUAAGACUGUGUGUAGCAAUAACAGAAACCAAAUGACUACAGUAUCCACCGCAACAGUACAGUCCAGCACUUGAUGUGUUUGAACAGCACAUCGUUUACUACACUCGUGUUGUAACAUGACAUCAUCCUUCCAGAUAGAAGAAAAAUUUUCAGCAUCCAGCAGCUAAAAAAAAGGAAGGAAGAAAGUUGGGAGAAAUAGGCCACAUAUAAUCCACUCGCAGCUAAUAGCCAGAUGCUAACUGUUCCACACAUACAAAGCUGGGCUGCUCCAGACAGCAAUUGGAAUCAGCAGUAUUCAUGCCCUAAUUGCUUCAAAGUUUAUCGCUGGAUGAUCUCAUUGCGCAGACAUAUGAGAUUAGAAUGUGGAAAAGAGGGAAACCUUUGUUGCUCCAUCUGCAGUCGUCGCUUCAAGCAUAAGCAUCACCUUGUUAAUCACUUAGGUGUUCACAGACGCAGGGAUUACAUGGCCAGUGGAAGCAGUUAACUGGUCUGAAAAUUGUGUGGAGGGCUCUGAUGAAAGAAUUGGUUUAGAGGCAAGAUUUGUGUGCAAUAACUGUGGAAAAUAUUAUCACCUGAAUACUUCUCUCCAACGCCAUCUGCGUGUAGAAUGUGGACAAGAAGGAAGACAUGCAUGUUUCUCAUGUGGUCGCAAAUUUAAGCAUAGGUUUACUCUCGCAACGCAUGUAAGAAGAAACAUCUGUGACAGAUUCAGGAACUUACAGUGAAAUAAGAGCAAUUUUGACUGUAAAAGGAUUUUACAGUGUGAUUGCAAGCAUUUCAAUAAAUCAAUAUCGCAUAUGAGGCAUUUUGUUGAGUCAGUUUGUGUGUUAUUUUCGUAGUUAAGCACAUCAUUUUACUUACCAUUGAUUGAGAGCAAAGUAUGCUGUAAAUAUAUAAAUUAAACCUUA
Molecule: long non-coding RNA, 1476 nt
Organism: Schistocerca piceifrons (Central American locust)
Lineage: Eukaryota; Metazoa; Arthropoda; Insecta; Orthoptera; Acrididae
Exons: 3
Source: RefSeq, a predicted model, not a curated record